UACGUAGGGCGCAAGCGUUGUCCGGAAUUAUUGGGCGUAAAGAGCGUGUAGGCGGCCCGGUUAGUCCGCUGUGAAAGUCCAGGGCUCAACCCUGGAAUGCCGGUGGAUACUGUCGGGCUAGAGUCCGGAAGGGGCGAGUGGAAUUCCUGGUGUAGCGGUGAAAUGCGCAGAUAUCAGGAAGAACACCGACGGCGAAGGCAGCUCGCUGGGACGGUACUGACGCUGAGGUGCGAAAGCGUGGGGAGCGAACAGG
RNAcentral lists this ribosomal RNA (253 nucleotides) under uncultured bacterium. RNAcentral's name for it is "partial 16S ribosomal RNA". It matches the Rfam family "Bacterial small subunit ribosomal RNA", at positions 524 to 776 of the family's 1533-position model. The record is from RNAcentral.